Hyaena hyaena (striped hyena) is the source of this 191-nucleotide small nuclear RNA. RefSeq annotates it as U2 spliceosomal RNA. The record is from RefSeq and is a predicted model, not a curated record. The transcript has a single exon. Lineage: Eukaryota; Metazoa; Chordata; Mammalia; Carnivora; Hyaenidae.
AUCGCUUCUCAGCCUUUUGGCUAAGAUCCAGGGUAGUAUCUGUUCUUAGCAGUUUCGUAUCAGAUAUGUCCUCUAUCCGAGGGUAACAGAUUAAAUGGAUUUCUGGAGUACGGAGAUGGAAGAAGAGCUGCCUCUGUCUAGUCCAUGCAUCGACCUGGUACUGCAUUACCUCCAGGAAGGGUGACCCCUCA